AAUGAACGCUGGCGGCAGGCCUAACACAUGCAAGUCGAACGGAGCCUUCGGGAUUAGUGGCGGACGGGUGAGUAACGCGUGGGAACAUACCCAAAGGUACGGAAUAGCCUCGGGAAACUGGGAGUAAUACCGUAUGUGCUCGAAAGAGGAAAGAUUUAUCGCCUUUGGAUUGGCCCGCGUUGGAUUAGGUAGUUGGUGGGGUAAUGGCCUACCAAGCCGACGAUCCAUAGCUGGUUUGAGAGGAUUAUCAGCCACACUGGGACUGAGACACGGCCCAGACUCCUACGGGAGGCAGCAGUGGGGAAUCUUAGACAAUGGGGGAAACCCUGAUCUAGCCAUGCCGCGUGAUCGAUGAAGGCCUUAGGGUUGUAAAGAUCUUUCAGGUGGGAAGAUAAUGACUGUACCACCAGAAGAAGCCCCGGCUAACUCCGUGCCAGCCGCCGCGGUAA
This 449-nucleotide ribosomal RNA is filed under the name uncultured bacterium. Its description in RNAcentral is "partial 16S ribosomal RNA". It matches the Rfam family "Bacterial small subunit ribosomal RNA", at positions 29 to 523 of the family's 1533-position model. The record is from RNAcentral.